RNAcentral lists this transfer RNA (68 nucleotides) under Clostridium senegalense. It matches the Rfam family "tRNA", at positions 6 to 65 of the family's 71-position model. Rfam says of the family: Transfer RNA (tRNA) molecules are approximately 80 nucleotides in length. Lineage: Bacteria; Bacillati; Bacillota; Clostridia; Eubacteriales; Clostridiaceae. RNAcentral also lists the same sequence under 1 other name. The record is from RNAcentral.
GCAUAGCUCAGCUGGGAGAGCAUCUGCCUUACAAGCAGAGGGUCACAGGUUCGAACCCUGUUGUGACC